GAUCAUGUGGCAGUUUCAUU
RNAcentral lists this microRNA (20 nucleotides) under Zea mays. Its description in RNAcentral is "zma-miR167j-3p". Its record names the gene zma-miR167j-3p. The record is from miRBase by way of RNAcentral. Lineage: Eukaryota; Viridiplantae; Streptophyta; Magnoliopsida; Poales; Poaceae.